This is a long non-coding RNA of Setaria italica (foxtail millet), 1980 nucleotides long. RefSeq lists it as uncharacterized. The transcript has 2 exons. Lineage: Eukaryota; Viridiplantae; Streptophyta; Magnoliopsida; Poales; Poaceae. The record is from RefSeq and is a predicted model, not a curated record.
UUUCUCCGGUUAUUUGACCCUGGAACCGAUUAGAUCGUGGGCGCACGACGUCCGUUCGGUUCCAUCUCCCCCCUUCCCCCGUUCCGUUGUCGUCGCCGUCUCCGCACGUCGGAGCUGCCCGCCGGAGAUGUUUAACUGUGCGGAGGUGGUGUAGUGGGAGAGCGGCAAGUCCAUCAACGCCAUCGCCGCCGCGCAGGGCAUCCGGGUCCGCCGCCGCUGCCGCCCGAGCUACCUGUCCGAGGGCGUCAGCGCCGACAGGGCCAUCCCGCCGGACGUCCUCGAGCAGGUCGUCUGGGACAAGGAGGUCGAGGUCUCACAGCGGAAGGCCCGGGCGCCGCUCCACAGGGUGGCCGAGUCUGCGCAGCGCGCGCUGCCACUCAGGGACUUAGCCGCGGCCGGCGGCGCGCCGCAACGGAGGGCUCCCCGCGCUCAUCACCGAGGUGAAGAAGGCGUCGCCCACCAGGGGACUCCUCAGGGACCACUUCAACCCGGUUAGUUGUACUCAUGGGCUGAGACUUCUUUCUUGGAUUUGGAUAUAGCUGCGCCCUGCAAUCUCUGAAUCGAAGAUUGACUGUGUGUGUGAGUGACCAAUGCGAUUCUGCAAAAUUCUAGACAGGUCGAGAUAGCGCAAGCCUACGAGAAGAACGGCACGGCCUGCUUGAGCAUCCUGACUGACGAGAAGCACUUCACACUUGCUUCUUGUUCUUCAACUGAUGAAAUUUUUUUGUUACAGCUGUCUGACAUUUUCUGAUCCUGUGCAUAUACGUUUCUCUAGGGGAGCUUUGAGAAUAUGGAGACCAUACACAAUGCUGGUGUGAAUUUGACAUGUAUGCAAAGUGUCAAGCAGUGUUAGAGGCCAACAGGAUAUUUGGAAGAAUUUUGAACAAGGAUGUUGUCACGUGGAAUUCGAUGAUUGCAGGCUAUGCUGAGAAUAGUAUGGACGAUGAUGCUCUGAUGCUAUUUAAACAGAUGAGGCUGCAGGGCGCUUCACCUGAUGCCACCUCUGUGGUGAAUGCUCUGUCAGCUUCUGUUUGUCUGGGUGACCUAGUUAUGGGUAAAUCAUUCCAUAGAUGCCAAUGCAAGCAGAUGUUAGUGUUUGGGGAGCUUUUCUCCAUGGAUGUGGGCUCCAUUCAAGGUUACAGUUUGGAGAAGAAGCUUUCAAGAGAAUGAUGGUGCUUCAUCCUGAAAGACCAGAUUUGUAUGGGCUGAUAUCAAACUUGUAUACCUCAUAUGGGAUGUGGGAAAAAUCUCUAGCUAUCCAAAGAUGGAUGCAGGAAAAAGGACUAGUCAAAUUACCUGGGUGCAGCUCUGUAGGUCCUGAAAAUGGAUGACUGAAAGAUGCUUUCAGAACUAAGAACAGGAAAUCCCACUAGGUGUUAUCUUUCUAUGCUUGUUGACACCUAUAAUUAACAUCAUGUGGCAGUGCCAGCAGAAAGUUCAGAAUAAUUUAAUGUGCUGAUAUGUUAGGCUGUGUCAGUUAAAAGUGAAAGCAAUCUAUAAAGCAGAGAAAGAUCAAGAAGCUAAAUUGUGACACGCUCCAUAUGUAUUUCUUUAGUCGAGGCCUUUUAGCUUUGCAUCUAAAUGGACUGAACCUGCUGUAUGUGCAUGGAGCGGAUGAAUGAGCUGGAUUAUGUCAGUUUACAGUCUAAGCUUCCAUGAAGAUCAUGGAGCUCAUUGCCAGAGGUCCAGAGCCAUCAUCAGCUGUCUUUAACCUGCAUAUACUAAUAAUGCUUAGCUCUUUUGCAGAUUGUAAUAUGCAUGCUGGUUACCUGCACACGGGAUGGUUGAUUGGCUACGUCUGUUGAUUUUUCUUUUUGUUUAUUGUAGUUCCCCAAAUUGUAAAAACAGGAUCAAUGAAAUAGCAGAGUGUAAUGAGUUUUCAUGGACAAAACCGUGUGCACCGUUUGAAUAUGAUCAUUGAAAUAGCAUAUUGUACUUGGUCAAAAAAUCAUUGUAUUCGAUCUAAGUUUUUAUUUCUCA